RNAcentral lists this ribosomal RNA (253 nucleotides) under uncultured bacterium. RNAcentral's name for it is "partial 16S ribosomal RNA". It matches the Rfam family "Bacterial small subunit ribosomal RNA", at positions 524 to 776 of the family's 1533-position model. The record is from RNAcentral.
UACGAAGGGGGCAAGCGUUGUCCGGAUUUAUUGGGCGUAAAGAGCGUGUAGGCGGCCAGGUAGGUCUGCUGUGAAAACUCGAGGCUUAACCUCGAGAUGUCGGCGGAAACCAUCUGGCUAGAGUCCGGAAGAGGAGAAUGGAAUUCCCGGUGUAGCGGUGAAAUGCGCAGAUAUCGGGAAGAACACCCGUGGCGAAGGCGGUUCUCUGGGACGGUACUGACGCUGAGACGCGAAAGCGUGGGGAGCGAACAGG